CAGAUCUCGGAUAUCUAAUUGUAACGUAGUUGUGUGGUAUAAAACAAAACUAUAAAAUCAGUCAGUGAAUGAUACGGUUGUUACAGAUCUCGGGACGUUAAUUUUAUGUACGAGUUCAUUCACGAUAGCUGGUUACAUGUAAUAAGUAGGUACCGAUAUAAAAUUGAACUAAAUUUAUACGAACUAGUUCAUUUGUUUUAAUGGACUUACUUAUUAGUUUGUAUUUACUUAAAAAAAGAACACAUUUUUUUCGAUAAUAUUAUUUAAUUAUUGGUUUUUAUUAGCUCUGCAAAGUCUCGGCAAUUUUAUU
Non-coding RNA from Cinara cedri, 310 nucleotides. NCBI's taxonomy places the organism in Eukaryota, Metazoa, Arthropoda, Insecta, Hemiptera, Aphididae. The record is from the annotation of a GenBank genome assembly.